UGAACGCUGGCGGUAUGCUUAACACAUGCAAGUCGAACGGAAACGAUACUAGCUUGCUAGUAGGCGUCGAGUGGCGGACGGGUGAGUAACGCGUAGGAAUCUGCCUGAUAGUGGGGGAUAGCCCGAAGAAAUUCGGAUUAAUACCGCAUAAUCUAUUCGUAGUAAAGUGGGGGACUUUCGAGCCUCACGCUAUCAGAUGAGCCUGCGUAAGAUUAGCUUGUUGGUAGGGUAAAAGCCUACCAAGGCGACGAUCUUUAGCUGGUCUGAGAGGGUGAUCAGCCACAUCGGGACUGAGACACGGCCCGAACUCCUACGGGAGGCAGCAGUGGGGAAUAUUGGACAAUGGGGGCAACCCUGAUCCAGCAAUACCGCGUGUGUGAAGAAGGCCUGAGGGUUGUAAAGCACUUUCAAUUGUGAAGAAAAGUUAGCGGUUAAUAACCGUUAGCCUUGACGUUAACUUUAGAAGAAGCACCGGCUAACUCCGUGCCAGCAGCCGCGGUAAUACGGAGGGUGCAAGCGUUAAUCGGAAUUACUGGGCGUAAAGCGUGCGUAGGCGGUUUAUUAAGUCAGAUGUGAAAGCCCCGGGCUUAACCUGGGAACUGCAUUUGAAACUGGUCAACUAGAGUAUGGUAGAGGAAAGUGGAAUUUCUGGUGUAGCGGUGAAAUGCGUAGAUAUCAGAAGGAACAUCAAUGGCGAAGGCAGCUUUCUGGACCAAUACUGACGCUGAGGUACGAAAGCGUGGGUAGCAAACAGGAUUAGAUACCCUGGUAGUCCACGCCGUAAACGAUGAUAACUAGCCGUUGGGGGGAUUUACCCUUUAGUGGCGAAGCUAACGCGUUAAGUUAUCCGCCUGGGGAGUACGGCCGCAAGGUUAAAACUCAAAGGAAUUGACGGGGACCCGCACAAGCGGUGGAGCAUGUGGUUUAAUUCGAUGCAACGCGAAGAACCUUACCUGGUCUUGACAUCCUGCGAACUUUCUAGAAAUAGAUUGGUGCCUUCGGGAACGCAGUGACAGGUGCUGCAUGGCUGUCGUCAGCUCGUGUCGUGAGAUGUUGGGUUAAGUCCCGUAACGAGCGCAACCCCUAUCCUUAUUUGCCAGCACAUCAUGGUGGGAACUAUAAGGAGACUGCCGGUGAUAAACCGGAGGAAGGCGGGGACGACGUCAAGUCAUCAUGGCCCUUACGACCAGGGCUACACACGUGCUACAAUGGGAAGGACAAAGAGCCGCGAAGCCGCGAGGUGUAGCUAAUCUCAUAAACCUUUUCGUAGUCCGGAUUGGAGUCUGCAACUCGACUCCAUGAAGUCGGAAUCGCUAGUAAUCGUAGAUCAGAAUGCUACGGUGAAUACGUUCCCGGGUCUUGUACACACCGCCC
RNAcentral lists this ribosomal RNA (1374 nucleotides) under uncultured bacterium. RNAcentral's name for it is "16S ribosomal RNA". It matches the Rfam family "Bacterial small subunit ribosomal RNA", at positions 30 to 1395 of the family's 1533-position model. The record is from RNAcentral.